This 412-nucleotide ribosomal RNA is filed under the name uncultured bacterium. RNAcentral's name for it is "bacterial SSU rRNA". It matches the Rfam family "Bacterial small subunit ribosomal RNA", at positions 28 to 416 of the family's 1533-position model. The record is from RNAcentral.
GACGAACGCUGGCGGCGUGCUUAACACAUGCAAGUCGAACGGGAGGAAAAGAGAAGCUUGCUUCUUUUGAAUCUAGUGGCAAACGGUGAGUAACACGUAAACAACCUGCCUUCAGGAUGGGGACAACAGACGGAAACGACUGCUAAUACCGAAUGUGUUCCGGAGACCGCAUGAUUUCCGGAAGAAAGGAUGGCCUCUAUUUAUAAGCUAUCGCCUGAAGAGGGGUUUGCGUCUGAUUAGGCAGUUGGUGAGGUAACGGCCCACCAAACCUACGAUCAGUAGCCGGUCUGAGAGGAUGAACGGCCACACUGGAACUGAGACACGGUCCAGACUCCUACGGGAGGCAGCAGUGGGGAAUCUUCCGCAAUGGACGAAAGUCUGACGGAGCAACGCCGCGUGAGUGAUGACGGCC